This is a long non-coding RNA of Bubalus bubalis (water buffalo), 2250 nucleotides long. RefSeq lists it as uncharacterized. The transcript has 3 exons. The record is from RefSeq and is a predicted model, not a curated record. NCBI's taxonomy places the organism in Eukaryota, Metazoa, Chordata, Mammalia, Artiodactyla, Bovidae.
UUCUUUACCACUGAGCCCCGGGGGAAGCCCAGACCCAUAUUUACUAAUUGUCUAAAAAAAGGAUUGGCUUUAAUAAGAUAUACAGUGUAGCAGAACAGAAAAUGCUGUCUUACAGUCCCAGUGAGGAGACAUAAUUGCCACACGAAGGGGUUUUUUUCUUAUUUGAAAAAUAUAGUCCUCAUUGCCAUGGCAAAGACCUGUAAUGUAUAUCCUCUUUAAUAUGGCUACUGAAGCUCAGCUAUAAGCCCUGAAUAAGCAGGUUAUUCAAUCACAGAGAAUCUGAGCAACGUUAUGUUCAAAGACAUAAAAGAUGAUGACUGCAAUUUUUUGGCUUCAGUGUUCAGGAACAUAUACAGACUCCUGUGAUUGCCCAUUGAGUAAGGCACAGUUUUCUUUACUGCAUUAACAUUUUUCAUCAAAUGAAAAUUUCAAAAAGUGUAAAAUUCUAAGAAGGCAAUGGUAUUUAACAAAAAAGAAACAGAUUUCAUGGUGGUUCUAUCCAUUAGCUUUUAUGAAUAUUAGUCAUGCAUCAGAAUGAUUGACAUCCUACCCAAGCUCUGCUCCUCACUGGUUAUGUAACCUUGAUUAAGUUACUAAACAUCUCUACACCUCAAUUAUGUCAUAUGUAAAUUGGAAGUUUCCUAGUAUCUACCUGAGAGGUGGAGAGGGAUUUAAAAGCUUAGCCCAUUGCCCAUAAACCUGUCAAUGUCACAUACUGGGGACAAACAGAGCUCAGUGAGUGAAUAAAAUGAUUUGUGAAAGAAACAUUAUUUUAAGACACAUGUGGUGUCUUAAAGCAAUACAAUCCUAAAGCAGGAGACUCAGUCAUGUAUACUAUAUUCUCAGCACUUAUUCAUGUGACUGGCAUAUAUGAGUAGGUGCUCAAAAAGUUGUCCCGAAUGAAUGCAGGGAUAGCUUGGAAUCAUUAUAUCUCAUGUAAGCAGUAAAUCAUAAUUUUAAAGAGCAUUUUCUCUUGUACUUACUCAUUUUACAUCCAUAAGGAAAUGUUGGUGCCAAAUAAAGCAAAAUGAAAUGAAACAAAUAUGAAAACACAAAAAGUCAAACCUCUAACUAAAAGUAGAUCCAUUUAGAGCAAUAGAGCUCCUGCACAUGAAUGCUCAUACCAGCAUUAUUUAUAAGAGCUAAAAAGUGGAAAUAACCAAAUGUUUCCAAAACAAUCAUUCUUCAAGUGAAGAAUGGAUAUGGAGAGUUAAGUGACCAUAAGGAGUAGUGAAGAACUGAUAUAGAGACACACCAUGGAGAGAUUCCGCUAGUUGAAAGAAGACGGUACAAACAGUCAUAUGCGAUCUGAUUCUGUCUCUAGGAAACGCCCAGAACCGUCAAAUCCAUAGAGACAGAGAACAGAGGAGUGGAUGCCAGUGUCUGGGAGUAACGGGAAACGGGAGUGACUGCUAAUGGGUACAAAGUUUCUUCCUGGGGUGGUGUUCUGGAAUCAGAUAGUACUGAUGACUGCACAGCUCUGUGAACAUGCUAAAAACCACUCAAUUGUACAGUUAAAAGCGUGAAGGUGAUGAUAUGUGAAUUAUCUUUAUAAAGCUGUUAUUUAAAAAGUGAUAGAGCUGAAAAUACUCGUAUUAAUUACAGAUCAAGUGCUGGGACAGAAAGAGUCCUGGGGGUUCUAACCUACCAAUAUCAGGACAAAAUAAGAUGGUUAUAAUGCUUUGAUCUUAAAGAGAAGGGUAAAAUUUAUGAAGCAAAUUCAGCAUGUAUUUCAGGAUCCCUUAAUUUCAGGGCCCCUUAUUUCAAGGCCCAGUGUCCUGGGCCCAAGAAACUUGAUUCGGCAAUUUCAUUUUCUUUUUCUUAAGGAGAGCCUCUGAAAUCACAGAAGGCUCCGGCUCUGCAAAACCUUCAUCUGUACCUGUCAGUCCCACAGAAUCAUUCGAGAGGGAUAAAGGACGGUGAGGUUCAGAGACCUCCAGAAUGCCAGGACGAAUUUCUCUCGGUGGAAGGAGCUGUCAGUCCUAACAAGAGUGGCCUGAAAACCUUCACUCUUUGGCUUCUGGUCUUUCAUUGAGCCCUUCAGGAGGAGUUGAGGAGCUUUGUUGAGAUGCUGGACGUACCAGAAAACAUAGGGAUCUGAAUACGUGGUCUGGUGGAAGGAGCUGUCACGCUUAACAAGAGUGGCCUGAAAACCUUCAUGCUCUACCUUCUUGUCUGCAGUUAAGCCCUUCAGGAGGAGUUGAGGAGCUUUGUUGAGAUGCUGGAUGUACCAGAAAAGAUAGGGAACCG